UACGAGAGGCCCAAACGUUAUUCGGAAUUACUGGGCUUAAAGAGUUCGUAGGCGGCAUGAAAAGUAGGGUGUGAAAGCCCUCGGCUCAACCGAGGAAUUGCGCUCUAAACUGUCGUGCUAGAGGAACCUAGAGGUGAGCAGAAUUGAUGGUGGAGCGGUGAAAUGCGUUGAUAUCAUCAGGAAUACCGGAGGCGAAGGCGGCUCACUGGGGGUUUUCUGACGCUGAGGAACGAAAGCCAGGGGAGCGAACGGG
RNAcentral lists this ribosomal RNA (253 nucleotides) under uncultured bacterium. Its description in RNAcentral is "partial 16S ribosomal RNA". It matches the Rfam family "Bacterial small subunit ribosomal RNA", at positions 524 to 776 of the family's 1533-position model. The record is from RNAcentral.